GCACAAUGGGCGCCAGCCUGAUGCACCCAUGCCGCGUGUAUGAAGAAGGCCUUCGGGUUGUAAAGUACUUUCAGUUGUGAGGAAGGGGGUAGUGUUAAUAGCGCUAUCUCUUGACGUUUGCAACAGAAGAAGCACCGGCUAACUCCGUGCCAGCAGCCGCGGUAAUACGGAGGGUGCGAGCGUUAAUCGGAAUUACUGGGCGUAAAGCGCAUGCAGGUGGUUCAUUAAGUCAGAUGUGAAAGCCCGGGGCUCAACCUCGGAACUGCAUUUGAAACUGGUGAACUAGAGUGCUGUAGAGGGGGGUAGAAUUUCAGGUGUAGCGGUGAAAUGCGUAGAGAUCUGAAGGAAUACCAGUGGCGAAGGCGGCCCCCUGGACAGACACUGACACUCAGAUGCGAAAGCGUGGGGAGCAAACAGGAUUAGAUACCCUGGUAGUCCACGCCGUAAACGAUGUCUACUUGGAGGUUGUGGCCUUGAGCCGUGGCUUUCGGAGCUAACGCGUUAAGUAGACCGCCUGGGGAGUACGGUCGCAAGAUUAAAACUCAAAUGAAUUGACGGGGGCCCCGACAAGCGUGGGAGCAUGUGGUUUAAUUCGUUGCAACGCGAAAAACCUUACCUACUCUUGACAUC
This 630-nucleotide ribosomal RNA is filed under the name uncultured bacterium. RNAcentral describes it as "bacterial SSU rRNA". It matches the Rfam family "Bacterial small subunit ribosomal RNA", at positions 366 to 988 of the family's 1533-position model. The record is from RNAcentral.